RNAcentral lists this ribosomal RNA (253 nucleotides) under uncultured bacterium. RNAcentral describes it as "partial 16S ribosomal RNA". It matches the Rfam family "Bacterial small subunit ribosomal RNA", at positions 524 to 776 of the family's 1533-position model. The record is from RNAcentral.
UACGGAGGGUGCAAGCGUUAUCCAGAUUUACUGGGUUUAAAGGGUGCGUAGGUGGAUUGGUAAGUCAGUGGUGAAAUACUUUCGCUUAACGAAGGAACUGCCAUUGAUACUAUCAAUCUUGAAUGUAGUGGAGGUAGGCGGAAUGCGUCAUGUAGCGGUGAAAUGCUUAGAUAUGACGCAGAACACCAAUUGCGAAGGCAGCUUGCUACACUACUAUUGACACUGAGGCACGAAAGCGUGGGGAUCAAACAGG